RNAcentral lists this ribosomal RNA (720 nucleotides) under Proteus mirabilis. RNAcentral describes it as "bacterial SSU rRNA". It matches the Rfam family "Bacterial small subunit ribosomal RNA", at positions 742 to 1461 of the family's 1533-position model. Lineage: Bacteria; Pseudomonadati; Pseudomonadota; Gammaproteobacteria; Enterobacterales; Morganellaceae. The record is from RNAcentral.
GACGCUCAGGUUCGGAAGCGUGGGGAAGGAACCGGAUUAGAUUUCCUUGUAGUUCUCGCCGUUAACGAAGUCGAUUUAGAGGUUGUGAUCUUGGGGCGUGGCUUCUGGAACUAACGCGUUAAAUUAACCGCCUGGGGAGUGCGGUCCCAAGGCUAAAACUCAAAUGAAAUGACGGGGGGCCGCACCAGCGGAGGAGCAUGUGGUGUAAUUUGAUUCAACGCGAAGAACCUUACCUUCUCUUGUCAUCCAAUGAAUCCUUCAGAGAUAGAAUAGUGCCUUCGGGAACGGUGAGGCAGGUCAGGCAUGGCAGUCGUCAGCUCGUGUUGUGAAAUGUUGGGUUAAGUUCCGCAACGAGCCCAACCCUUAUCCUUUCUUUCCAGCACAUAAUGUUGGGAACUCAAAGGAGACUACCGGUGAUAAACCGGAGGAAGGUGGGGAUGACGUCAAGUCAUCAUGGCCCUUACGAGUAGGGCUACACACGUGAUACAAUGGCAGAUACAAAGAGAAGCGACCUCGCGAGAGCAAGCGGAGCUCAUAAAGUCUGUCGUAGUCCGGAUUGGAGUCURCAACUCGACUCCAUGAAGUCGGAAUCGCUAGUAAUCGUAGAUCAGAAUGCUACGGUGAAUACGUUACCGGGCCUUGUACACACCCCCCGUCACUCCAUGGGAGUGGGUUGCAAAAGAAGUAGGUAGCGUAACCUUCGGGAGGACGCUAACCACU